This 483-nucleotide ribosomal RNA is filed under the name uncultured bacterium. RNAcentral describes it as "partial 16S ribosomal RNA". It matches the Rfam family "Bacterial small subunit ribosomal RNA", at positions 28 to 507 of the family's 1533-position model. The record is from RNAcentral.
GACGAACGCUGGCGGCGUGCUUAACACAUGCAAGUCGAACGCUGAAGCUCAGCUUUUGUUGGGUGGAUGAGUGGCGAACGGGUGAGUAACACGUGAGUAACCUGCCCCCUUCUUUGGGAUAACGCCCGGAAACGGGUGCUAAUACUGGAUAUUCACUGGUCUUCGCAUGGGGGUUGGUGGAAAGGGUUUUUCUGGUGGGGGAUGGGCUCGCGGCCUAUCAGCUUGUUGGUGGGGUGAUGGCCUACCAAGGCUUUGACGGGUAGCCGGCCUGAGAGGGUGACCGGUCACAUUGGGACUGAGAUACGGCCCAGACUACUACGGGGGGCAGCAGUGGGGAAUAUUGCACAAUGGGCGCAAGACUGAUGCAGCGACGCCGCGUGAGGGAUGGAGGCCGUCGGGUUGUGAACCUCUUUCGCUCAUGGUCAAGCCGCAACAAUGGUUGCGGUGAGGGUAGUGGGUAAAGAAGCGCCGGCUAACUACGUG